Molecule: ribosomal RNA, 471 nt
Filed under: uncultured bacterium
Lineage: Bacteria
Description: bacterial SSU rRNA
Rfam family: Bacterial small subunit ribosomal RNA
Source: RNAcentral
GAACGCUGGCGGCAUGGAUUAGGCAUGCAAGUCGAACGAGAAACUCUUCGGAGUGGAAAGUGGCGAAAGGGUGAGUAACGCGUGAGUAACUUGCCUCCAAAUCGAGGAUAACAGUUGGAAACGACUGCUAAUACUGGAUGUGAUAAAAGAAUCGCAUGUUUCUUUUAUUAAAGAUCCGUUGUUUGGAGAUAGGCUCGCGUCCCAUUAGUUUGUUGGUAAGGUAACGGCUUACCAAGACUUUGACGGGUAGGUGGUCUGAGAGGAUGGUCACCCACACUGGGACUGAGACACUGCCCAGACUCCUGCGGGAGGCUGCAGUCGAGAAUCUUCCGCAAUGCGCGAAAGCGUGACGGAGCAAUGCCGCGUGAAUGAUGAAGGCCUUCGGGUCGUAAAGUUCUGUCAGGGGUGAAGAACAUUGACAUUAACCCCAGAGGAAGCCACGGCUAACUACGUGCCAGCAGCCGCGGUAAU